UACGGAGGAUUCGAGCGUUAUCCGGAUUUAUUGGGUUUAAAGGGUCCGUAGGCGGGCCUGUAAGUCAGUGGUGAAAUCUCACGGCUCAACCGUGAAACUGCCAUUGAUACUGCAGGUCUUGAAUAUAGUUGAGGUAGGCGGAAUACGUUAUGUAGCGGUGAAAUGCAUAGAUAUAACGUAGAACACCGAUUGCGAAGGCAGCUUACUAAGCUAUUAUUGACGCUGAUGGACGAAAGCGUGGGGAGCGAACAGG
Molecule: ribosomal RNA, 253 nt
Filed under: uncultured bacterium
Lineage: Bacteria
Description: partial 16S ribosomal RNA
Rfam family: Bacterial small subunit ribosomal RNA
Source: RNAcentral